GCCACAGUCUGUGUACUCAGGACUCCCUUUCUUUAAAUGAUGGUCAAGAAGUCAAGCCUUUGCGGUGGGAGCGGCGAGCUUUUCCACUGAAGGAUGAGGAUACAGCAGCCUUAUUAUGCCAAGAUGAAAGAAAGGAUCUGACUGAGGGGGCAAGCACAGCCUUCCGUGAUGAAGCCUUCUGUAGCACUACACCUGAGAAUAGCCACCCUCCAAGUGUGCAGUUAGAUGGAAUGGAAGAAUAUAAAAUCUUUGGUAUAGGAGUCACUAGUGUUAAAAGAAAUAGGUGACAGGGAACAUAUUAAGAAAAGUAUGUAACUGAAAGGUAAAGAGGAAAAAAGCCCUAAACCCUCUCUUCUGGAUCUCUACCUCCUCUGGUCACAGUCCCACAGGAGGGAGUGCCGCAUGUACCCAUAUUUCACCGUUCAGGGGAUAGGCCGGAGUCCCUUUUCCUUCCUGACUCACAGAAGUAGCUACUUCUCACCCACACAAAUGCUAGUGACUUGUGCUUGCCAAUAAUACAAAUCACAAGCACUAAGACACUAACUGCUGCAAUCCAUGCCAAGUCACACCUCGGGCAUUUGUUGACAUAAGAGCCCUCCUUCUUUGUUUCUAUUCUCAUGGCAGUUCACUAGAAUUGCUGCAAUAACAUAUGAAAAUAUACGAGUGUGUAUACAGAAUAUAUACACAUAUGAUACACACAUAUGUAGUCUUAAAACUGCAUGUAUGAACUACUCUAUGCAAUAAGUUGCCAUGAAUACCUAGCACAGGUGCUCACUGAUGACAGACACCUGAAAGCUUUGACUGUGGGGAGCGAGUUGUGUUUUCUUUUAUUCUAAACAUUGUUUAACCAAUAUAAGUUAUUUAUGGAGAUUCUUAUAUCAGAUAACGCAACAUUCAUUUAUUUGAAAUCAUUGUUCUCUCCUGGACUAACCACAGGCUUUCUGCUUACUCCUAACAAAAUUAAGAGAAGCAACUUAAGAGUUUAAUAUAUUGAUACGUUUAAAAACUAUUGUCGUUGGAAAUUCACUCUGAGUUUUACUUGCUUUAUGUACUUCUUCAAGAUAGCAAUUUAAAAUAUAAAACAGCAUACAAAUCAUAAUAUGGUUGUAAGUCUAGCUAAUAUACAGCCAGAAGCUUCUAAUUUGUUUUUUCCUUACUAUAGCUUACAUAAAUACCUACUCUUACAGGCAUCCUAGAUCAAGGAUUCAAGUUUUCCAAGACCAAGACUUUAAUAUAGAAUACUGAGGAGUGUACAUUAAGGAAAAUUCUUUUUGAAGCCAUACCAUUUUUUUUCCUAGAUGAAAGUUAAGUACAAUUUGUAUCAACCACUUUUUGUUAUGCAAAGAAAGGUUACUUGAUUUGUAGUUCCCAUACUACUGAGAAUCCUGGCCACGGAGCUUGCACUCUGUGGGAUUAGAUACAUAAGGUGUUGUUGAGGAUUGGAAAUGCAACUGAUCCCUGCAGAAGGGGGAGGGGGGAACCAUUUAAAUUCAAUACUUACAAACUUUUGCUUAUAGUUUUACUGUACAUUUAUUUUUAAAGAAAAAGAACAAAAGCCAGAAAAAUACAAGUUGUCCCAGCAAAUAAAUUCAAAUCUUUGUCAUGACUGAUAUUAUAACCUUCUACAUAGUUUUUUUAAUUAAAGUUAUUUCUAUAUGCCUUGUAUUGUGUGAUUUGAUUAAAUGAACAAACCUUUGGUAAGCUAAAAUAGAAACAAGUAUUAAUAUCUGUCAUCUCUUAGCUCCCUUCUUCUUUGUUAGAAAUGUUUUAUAUAUCCAUCCAUCCUUGGGGUCAAAAUCUGUACUUCCCAAGUAUUCUUGACUUACUCUGAUUCUGCUAGAGGAUACAGUUACACUGAAAAUAAGAAAAGUAAACUUCCUUUUCUCUAACAUCUCAGGAGCUCUGUUUGUAGUCAGAGCAGCAGUGCCCACCAGAAACUGCUUCUGCUAUACCAGGUUUUCUAUGUAUCAGGCUACUGUGGAGCCUUACUUUUCUAAUAGGAAAAGAAUACCUGUUCCAACAAUUAUAGGACAAUUUAGCAGUUAAUUUGAUUAUACAAAAGUGCUUAAUCACUCAAAACAGACAUGAUGCUUGCCAUUUUAUG
This 2104-nucleotide long non-coding RNA is filed under the name Rattus norvegicus (Norway rat). Its description in RNAcentral is "long non-coding RNA NONRATT029476". The record is from RNAcentral. Lineage: Eukaryota; Metazoa; Chordata; Mammalia; Rodentia; Muridae.